CAGAGUUGCAAAACUCCCACAAGCCAUCGCGAAUCUUACCCGUACGGUUGCCUCGGCGCUGGCGGUCCGGAAGGCCCUCGGGCCCCCCGGAUCCUCGAGUCUCCCGCUCGCGGGAGGCUGCCCGCCGGAGUGCCGAAACCAAACUCUUGAUAUUUUAUGUCUCUCUGAGUAAACUUUUAAAUAAGUCA
RNAcentral lists this unclassified non-coding RNA (188 nucleotides) under soil metagenome. Its description in RNAcentral is "partial internal transcribed spacer 1". The record is from RNAcentral.